GAUGAACGCUAGCGGCAGGCUUAACACAUGCAAGUCGAGGGGCAGCACGUCUUCGGAUGGUGGCGACCGGCGCACGGGUGCGUAACGCGUAUACAAUCUACCUUUUACAGGGGCAUAGCCCGGGGAAACCCGGAUUAAUAUCCCAUGGUACCAUGAUAUGGCAUCAUAUUAUGGUUAAAGCUUUGGCGGUGAAAGAUGAGUAUGCGUUCUAUUAGCUAGAUGGUAAGGUAACGGCUUACCAUGGCUUUGAUAGAUAGGGGUCCUGAGAGGGAGAUCCCCCACACUGGUACUGAGACACGGACCAGACUCCUACGGGAGGCAGCAGUGAGGAAUAUUGGACAAUGGGUCGGAGAGCCGUGAUCCAGCCAUGCCGCGUGCAGGAAGACGGCCCUAUGGGUUGUAAACUGCUUUUAUACGGGAAGAAACACCCCUUCGUGAAGGGACUAGACGGUACCGUAUGAAUAAGGAUCGGCUAACUCCGUGCCAGCAGCCGCGGUAAUAC
Molecule: ribosomal RNA, 502 nt
Filed under: uncultured bacterium
Lineage: Bacteria
Description: bacterial SSU rRNA
Rfam family: Bacterial small subunit ribosomal RNA
Source: RNAcentral